CCUCGCAGCCACCAGGCACCAUAGCAUCCAGAGGACACCCCAGCCUGGAAGCUAAGCAGGGUCAGGCCUGGCUGGGGAUUAUAAUGGAAAAGCGCCUGGAAAGACCAGGGGCUGAAAGCU
This 120-nucleotide ribosomal RNA is filed under the name Saimiri boliviensis boliviensis (Bolivian squirrel monkey). Lineage: Eukaryota; Metazoa; Chordata; Mammalia; Primates; Cebidae. The record is from RNAcentral.